This 301-nucleotide ribosomal RNA is filed under the name uncultured bacterium. Its description in RNAcentral is "partial 16S ribosomal RNA". It matches the Rfam family "Bacterial small subunit ribosomal RNA", at positions 509 to 807 of the family's 1533-position model. The record is from RNAcentral.
CAGCAGCCGCGGUAAAACGUAGGUGGCAAGCGUUGUCCGGAAUUAUUGGGCGUAAAGGGCUCGCAGGCGGUUUCUUAAGUCUGAUGUGAAAGCCCCCGGCUCAACCGGGGAGGGUCAUUGGAAACUGGGAAACUUGAGUGCAGAAGAGGAGAGUGGAAUUCCACGUGUAGCGGUGAAAUGCGUAGAGAUGUGGAGGAACACCAGUGGCGAAGGCGACUCUCUGGUCUGUAACUGACGCUGAGGAGCGAAAGCGUGGGGAGCGAACAGGAUUAGAUACCCCAGUAGUCCCUGUCUCUUAUAC